UAGACGGAUAGUAAAAUGCCCGAUGCUCAGGCAGCCCACGAGCUCACCUUAACGGCCCUUUUCCCGGCGUUGGCAGGUGCCAACCUGAUUUACGGCCUUG
Desulfobacteraceae bacterium 4572_123 is the source of this 100-nucleotide non-coding RNA. The record is from Rfam. NCBI's taxonomy places the organism in Bacteria, Pseudomonadati, Thermodesulfobacteriota, Desulfobacteria, Desulfobacterales, Desulfobacteraceae.